RNAcentral lists this long non-coding RNA (712 nucleotides) under Parus major (Great Tit). RNAcentral's name for it is "lncRNA (ENSPMJG00000017449.1)". The record is from RNAcentral. Lineage: Eukaryota; Metazoa; Chordata; Aves; Passeriformes; Paridae.
GGUUUUCCAGUGGUGCCAACUUUAUCUUACCCAGACAGUGAUCCUGUGUGUGUUUAGGUCCCAGGGAGAAGGGACAAUUUAGUGUGUAGAUAUGGAAAAAACUGUUUGCAGAGUAAUUUUAGCCCUCCUUUGCCAAGGCAAUUCCCCAAAUUGCAAAAAUAUUGCCAGAAUCUCUUAGCCUGCAGCUAUUCUAGUGCCAAGGGGUAUAAAAAGGUAAUAUUCCUCCCCAUAAGAGGUUUCUGCUCUGUCUGUCUAUACAACAGUGUUGCCUUGCCAUGCUAAAGGGACUUCUUAUUCCAUGUCUCACAUACCAUCUUGAUUUCCUUGUUUUUCCUCAAGCAGAGCCCUCAGAGUGAUGCUGUACUUAAAACAAACAAACAAACAAACAAAAAACCAACAAAACAAAACCCUGCAGUUCCUUUCUUAAGGCAGCAAUACGAAAGAGGUUCUUGCUGGCAAAGCUUUUUUCUCUCUGAACACCAAGAAAUCAUUUUAACAAGCCCUGGAGUUGAUAUCAUGUUGGUUUUUUUUUUUACAGCAGGGAGGAGUGUGAAACCCUGCUUUCCUCCACAGAUACAUGUGGGAUGGCUUUGGAGCAAACCUGGCAAGCGAGCCUGUGGUUAUUGGUCUGACAGGCACAAGAGCAGAGGGUGCUGCCACUCUCCUGUGAAGCCAUAGGAAGUGUUUCAUGAUUCAAGAUAAAACCUUCACU